Molecule: non-coding RNA, 130 nt
Filed under: Aphaenogaster ashmeadi
Lineage: Eukaryota; Metazoa; Arthropoda; Insecta; Hymenoptera; Formicidae
Source: RNAcentral
AUAAGAGGUGUCGUGGUGUGGAGAAAUGAAACUAUAACCUAACCUUAAAGUGAUGAUGUUAUCGGUUGCUCUCGCCGAUAAAGUAAACUUAAUUGGGAGUUUAUUUGCCACGACACCUUUAAUUUUUACU